RNAcentral lists this microRNA precursor (183 nucleotides) under Oryza brachyantha (malo sina). Lineage: Eukaryota; Viridiplantae; Streptophyta; Magnoliopsida; Poales; Poaceae. The record is from RNAcentral.
UGGCUGUGUAGCCAAGGAUGACUUGCCGGCCGGCCUGUGGUUGGUUGCUCAUCUCGGCAAUUUGGCAUCAGCAACCGUGCUUGCUGUGUGAAAUGGCGCCGUACAUACGUACGUGCGAUCGAUUUCAUCGACGCACUGAUGCAUGGACCGGCAAGUUUUUUCUUUGGCUACACUGUAGCCUCG